Musca domestica (house fly) is the source of this 524-nucleotide long non-coding RNA. RefSeq lists it as uncharacterized. NCBI's taxonomy places the organism in Eukaryota, Metazoa, Arthropoda, Insecta, Diptera, Muscidae. The transcript is spliced from 2 exons. The record is from RefSeq and is a predicted model, not a curated record.
UGUUUUUAAAUUAAAUUUUAUUUGUUUUGUAAUUUUUGUUAUAUCGCAUGGAAUUUUUUGAAUUGUUAAUUGAAUUGUUAAUUUUGCAAUACUUUUAUUUUUUAAUUCACAUUGAAAAACUAAUGCAGAUCAAAUAAGUGCAUAAUAAGAUGACCAUUUGGUUGGAAAUUGGGAUUGAUAUUAGUGAAGUGCCGGAUACCACUAUAUGAAGGACAUUGCGAAUUUUAAAUAUUGGAGCCUUGAAAGAAAUGGGCUCAAAAGGCAACAGCAAUAACCCACAAAACGAGAAAAACAUCAAUUAUCCAAAACCAUGAAAGCCGGCAAUUUCAUAUAUUAACUGCAACUCAAUGCCGAUUUUUUUUUUUUUUUGGGAAAGUAUAUUUUUUUUUCAAACAGAAAUGGCAUAAUAUUGCAACCUAUACGGUUUAUAUAAUUCAAUUCAAUUUGAAUAUUAUGGUGUUCCUAAAAGUAAUUAUUAAACAAAUAAAUUAGGGACCGGCAACGCUGACCGGUUCAGCUAGUAA